Non-coding RNA from Triticum aestivum (bread wheat), 125 nucleotides. Lineage: Eukaryota; Viridiplantae; Streptophyta; Magnoliopsida; Poales; Poaceae. The record is from Rfam.
CACAUACUCCCUCAAUCCGAAAUCAUUUGUCGCAUAAAUGGUUAAAAGUGGAUGUAUCUAGAACUAAAAUACAUCUAGAUACAUCCAUUUCUCCUACAUGUAUUUCCGGACGGAGAGAGUAGUAU